GUUUGUCUCUUGUGCUCCUCUGAAAGUUAGCGUGUCGUGAGCAGCUGCUCAGAGGGCCUAGCAAUGAUUAUGAACCUCGCCUACAAAGGGGCAAUUUUAGGAAAUUUGGAUUGUGAGAUCAAUAUUUUAAAAAUUAAAACAUUUAUAAAAGCUAUAUAAACUAAUGCAUAAUAUUAAUUCUUGAUAGAUUGAUGUAUAUGUUAAAUAUAAGACUAUUACAAAACUAUUACAACAAUAACUAAAAGAAAAGGUACAUCAAAUAAAUUCGAAUAAUGCGUACCUCUUUGCCAAUGUUGUUAAAAACAUCUUUCUCAAUAUAUGUAAUCAAACAAUCAUUCAUCCAUUGAUCUUCAAUUUGAGUCCUCAAACAAAUUUUCAAAAUUUUCAUUGUAGCACCUGGCAAAAUCAAUGCUAACUUAACCAGACAAUAUACAAAUGGAUAAAACAUGUUCUUUUUUGUAUAAACCUUAUUAUUAGCAAGAUCUUGAAUUCCUUUCAAAUUUGAGAACUCCCUGUUUGGUUGCAUGACAAUAAUGUAUGUCUCUAGUUGGUUAUCAAGUGCAAGAACAUCAAUUGGAGAAAAAUCAAAUGAAUAUAUUUGACUUAAAUGAAUCAACUUUUGUUUGUCAAAAGAUACAAUAAAACUUGAAAAGGAAAGAAAGUUGUUACCAAAUUAAGGAAACUCGCUUGAAAGUAUUAAAAGAUUGAUCACCUUUUUUGAUGAAAUUUUAGAGAAUAAGAGAUAUAGAGAGAAAAGUGAAGAGUGUUAAAAGAAAAUAAAAAUGGUUAGAGAUUUUUGGGAGUUUGGGUGGAGAGAGAUUCAUUUAUUUUUAUAGAAUAUAAUUAUUUUUCAAAAAUUUCGGUGAGUCAAAUUUUUUGUGGGUCAAUUUUUUUAUGGGUCAUUUUUACAAUUUUGUGGGGUCAAUUAUAUAAAAUUAAAAAAUAAUUAUAACUAAUUUUUUUCUCUUUUUUUUGUGUAUGAGGUCAAUUGACCCCACAACCAUUCAAGUCGCUUCGUCAUUGCACCUACACGCGAUCCUUACAUCCAACCAUGGUGCCGCUUGGGUUAUAAGCCUCAGGUGGGUGAUUAGAGUCUCAGCACGCCUUGGUGAACUCCAUAAUUAUUUGCACGUCCUAUAUUAACAUAUCUCCCUAGAGCUUUGUAGGUAUCAUUAACCAAAGUGCUCUCGGCUCUGCGAACCAGGUCUUUGAGAAGUCGCUCAUGGCACAUUAGUUCUUGCCAAAGUAUGAGAGACAACACCCUAAUUGGGGAACAAUACUUUC
This 1284-nucleotide long non-coding RNA is filed under the name Gossypium barbadense (sea-island cotton). RNAcentral's name for it is "long non-coding RNA (GBAR_LNC008898)". The record is from RNAcentral. Lineage: Eukaryota; Viridiplantae; Streptophyta; Magnoliopsida; Malvales; Malvaceae.